AUGUAAUCAACCGAGGCAUGGGAAAGUUUCCUAGCAACAGCAAAAAGAACAUGAGAAAGUUUCCUUAUAAUGUUAGUAACAGAACAAAAUGGCCGGCUAGACAGGUAACAGUUACCUAGGCCUUAACACUUCCUUUGCCUCUGCACCAGGACUAAAAAUGGACAAAAGAAAACAGGAGCAAGGAUCAUGAACUUCCAUUGUUCUGGGCAACAGUAAAGACCACAGGCAUCCACUUGGUCCCUGGCAUCAGCAUGUUCCACUGACCUCUGCGUGGUCUCCUAUGGCAGUACAGGCAACAGACAUCAACAGGGCCCUCUGCCACUGCACAGCCCAGACACCAUCAUAACCCUCAGUGGCAGCAUAUACCACAGACAUCAACAUGACUUCAGGCUGCACCAGACUACAGACAUUCACAUGGCCCUUGGUGGUAACAUGGGCCAUGGACAUCACCUCACACUCCACCAGUAAGACAUGGAAGAGCCCCUGGAGGAAGCAUGACCCACAAAUAUCAGGAUGGCCUCAGGUGGUGACCAAGACCAAGAAUAUUCAUAUAGCCUUUGAUGGUAACUCAGGCCAGAGACAUCAUGGCCCUGGCUGCUGUAAGACCAUGAGCACUAACCUCCAGCUUUAACACAGCCUGGAAGAGAGGAUCAUGGAUACCAAAGUGGACCCCAGGGACAGCAUUGGCCGUAGCAGUCUUUCCAGGAGGUUCAAUCAAGAAAAUGAAUAAUUAUUAAUCUUGGAAUCCUGUAGUUGGGCAAACGGGUGUCUGGGCAGCAUUUUCCAAGGCUGAGUGUGAUUCUGCUUUGUUGAAGACUUGUUCAUGAGAGCUCAUGGGAAGAUACUUUUAUGUAGCAAAUGGGGGCUGAAAACCAGAACUGUAUUCUAAGGAAGGUAUAAGCUCCAUUUUAAAAAGGGGGAUCCUUCCACUCUACCAAACUGGACUGCUGGUGUAUCCAUGAAUUGUUGGCAAGUGGAUCGAGCCGAGAUGCUGCUGCUAACUUGUGAAGGGAACUGCCGAUUUCCAGACGACACAGGAGUUGCUCCCAAGAGCCCUCUAAACAGGUCCACUUCCUCAGUGUCCUUUCUUUCCCACUAUCUCUGGUGGGUAGUGGCUAAAAGGGAGGUUAAAGUGUUUAAGAGCCAUCAUUAAAAACAGGUUUGAAAAAAAUUAAAGUUACAGAUUGUAGAUGUGAGCCACCACAUCUACCUCACAGCCCACUUCCCACAGGGAUUUUGUUCUCUAUGGUACAAUAGCUCAAGUGGCUCUGGAACUCACCCUGCUGUUCAACAUGACCCCAAACUCACGGCCAUCCUCCUGCCUCAGCCUCCUGGAUGCUAGGAUUCUAGGCAUGAGCCUCCAUGCCUAGCCCCCCAAUACUUUAAAAUGUUUCCAUUUUUGACUGCUAGUAUCUUUUUUACAAACAUGAGCAAGGCUUCCUGCCACGCUCAGAACAAUCCUACUCAGACCUGCUCUGUGCAGGGCCUCAGCGUUUACUUAGAAGUCAGAAAUAAAAACAAGAGAAAAUUCUCGAGAGUGGGUGAAUUUUAUUGUCUCUCAAAGAUCCAAGGUAAGAAGAGUACCUUGGCGACACCUGUUGGAGUUCUUGAAUUGAUGGGACUGUGCCAUAUUCCUAAUCACCUCGGGGUUGAAUUACAAUUAAUGUCCUACUCACCAACAAGCCAGAUCGAUACUGCAGAAAUGGUUCCAAGCCUUAAAUCUGUCUCCUUGUGUUUUGCGCCAGCGUGUAGAGGUUACUGCAUUUUUUCCUUUCUUCUUAAUCUUUUUAUUCCCACUGAAGCACAUUACUCAUGCAACCCCCUUGAAAGUCCUCAAAUUAUUCAGCACACAGCACAGAUACUCUUGUCAACUUAUCUACAGGAUCGAUUGCGGUUAAUACUGUCCAGUCUCUAUAAUAAAACUGUCAUUGCAGCUACUGUUCAUCCUGUCAGCUUUCCAGAGGUUUCUAUCUGCGUGGAAUUCUGCAAUUUGUUUUCUUUCUAGAAUUCAUGAGCCCACUGAACUUCUCUUACGCUAUAUAAAACAUCUUAAAAGUAAAGCAAAUACCUGGAAAGCACCAAGCCCAGACACUAUGACUGAUGCUAUGUUGUGUUUGCAGACAGGAGCCUAGCAUGGCUGUCCUCUGAGAGGCUCUACCAACUGCUGACUGAGACAGAGGCAGAUACUUACAUCCAACCAUUGGUCUGAGGUCAGGGACUCCUGUGGAAGAGUUAAGGGAAGAAUUGAAGGAAUCUGAAGGGGACUGCAGCCCCAUAGGAAGAACAAUAGUAUCAACUAACCCAUACCCCUCAGACCUCCCAGGGACUAAGACACCAACCACGGGCUGGUUCCAGAUCCCUUGCCAAUGUGCAGCAGAGAACUGCCUUCUCUGGCCUCAGUGCGAAAGGAUGCCCCUAAUCCUGUAGAGACUUGAUGCUCCAGGAAAGAGGGAUGCAGGGGGAAGCACCCUCACAGAGGCUACGGGGACAAGGAAUGGGUCCCUCCCUCUGGGAUGGGGGAGAGCGAUGGGGACAACAUUUGGGAUACAUAAAUACAAUAAUUAUAAAAUAAAAAAAUAAAAAGACCCAGAAA
Rattus norvegicus (Norway rat) is the source of this 2593-nucleotide long non-coding RNA. RefSeq lists it as uncharacterized. The record is from RefSeq and is a predicted model, not a curated record. Lineage: Eukaryota; Metazoa; Chordata; Mammalia; Rodentia; Muridae.